GUAGAUGUAGUUCAAAAAGAACAUUAGAUUGUGAUUCUAAAAACAAAGGUUAAAAUCCUUUUAUCCACC
RNAcentral lists this transfer RNA (69 nucleotides) under Hippocampus abdominalis (big-belly seahorse). RNAcentral describes it as "tRNA-His". It matches the Rfam family "tRNA". Rfam says of the family: Transfer RNA (tRNA) molecules are approximately 80 nucleotides in length. Their secondary structure includes four short double-helical elements and three loops (D, anti-codon, and T loops). Lineage: Eukaryota; Metazoa; Chordata; Actinopteri; Syngnathiformes; Syngnathidae. The record is from RNAcentral.